Molecule: ribosomal RNA, 321 nt
Filed under: uncultured bacterium
Lineage: Bacteria
Description: partial 16S ribosomal RNA
Rfam family: Bacterial small subunit ribosomal RNA
Source: RNAcentral
UGGGGAAUAUUGGACAAUGGGGGCAACCCUGAUCCAGCAAUGCCGCGUGUGUGAAGAAGGUCUUCGGAUUGUAAAGCACUUUCGACGGGGACGAUGAUGACGGUACCCGUAGAAGAAGCCCCGGCUAACUUCGUGCCAGCAGCCGCGGUAAUACGAAGGGGGCCUAGCGUUGCUCGGAAUGACUGGGCGUAAAGGGCGUGUAGGCGGUUUACACAGUCAGAUGUGAAAUCCCCGGGCUUAACCUGGGAGCUGCAUUUGAUACGUGUAGACUAGAGUGUGAGAGAGGGUUUGUGGAAUUCCCAGUGUAGAGGUGAAAUUCGU